UUUACUCUUUUUCUGUAGUUCUUUAUUCUUUUAUUCUGGGUUUCGGAAUAUAUCUUCAAGUAUCUCGUUUUGAGUCGCUGGAUCUGUCUUUUGAUGCACGGCCUGUGUUUUGCUGAGGAUUAGAUAGAUGAGUUUCUGGGUGUGAUGUAGAAAUGGCAGAGCUACCAACCAUUUUGGACUCUUUUUGGCAUCCUCUCCUGAUCAACCUCGACUAUCACUGUGGUGAGUGUGGCGCAGUGAUCAGCCUCGAGGUGUUCCGGAGCGGACACACCUACAUGCACGUGGAGGAGCCACAUCUCUACCCUGAGGUUCUGGUGAACUGUGAAGGUGGCGCGUUCCGAGUUCAGAGCACCCAUUGUGAAAUCACUAUCCACUUCUCUACCUAUGCAGGGAGUCGAGGAGACAUAAGGGUUGAUCCUUAGCUUAGUUCUUAGUUUGUAGACUGUUUUUGUUGCCAAGAUUUGUUCAGGAUUUUGAUUUGGAUUUGGCAAAACAUAUUAGUCUCUGUUCAUCUUUUGGGGGUUUUUAAUUCCUUUGCCCUUUGACAUAUGUUUGAACACAACAGCUUAAUUACACAAUGAAUGAUUAGCGUUGCAUCAAAA
Brassica napus (rape) is the source of this 602-nucleotide long non-coding RNA. RefSeq lists it as uncharacterized. NCBI's taxonomy places the organism in Eukaryota, Viridiplantae, Streptophyta, Magnoliopsida, Brassicales, Brassicaceae. The record is from RefSeq and is a predicted model, not a curated record. The transcript is spliced from 2 exons.